This 95-nucleotide unclassified non-coding RNA is filed under the name Polaribacter sp. KT25b. Its description in RNAcentral is "Flavo-1 RNA". Lineage: Bacteria; Pseudomonadati; Bacteroidota; Flavobacteriia; Flavobacteriales; Flavobacteriaceae. The record is from RNAcentral.
GUUUAGCCCUGAUUGAAUGGCAUGUUUGAGCUCUUUUAUUUCUGCUGAUUUUUAUCAGCAGAAAUAAAAAGCGAGUAAUAAAAGCUGGAAAUAGC